UAAUAUUUUGAACAACACAGGCUUUACAUGAAGCCUUAAUGAGGCAAGACGAGCUGCUGGCAUACGUUGAUCAACAACGAGAGGCUAAGUUUAGGAAGAAGAGAUUCUGCUUCUGAAAAGCGUACAAAGGAGUAGAGGUCUUUAUCGCUUAUGCAAGAGGUUUGCAGUGUAUACAUUGUGUGUAAUUCUCUUGGCAUUAAGUAUGGAAGUAGAGAGAGAAAUCGAAAGAGUGGAUUUUUCUUCUCUCAUUCUCUCUCUAUUUACCUGAGGAUCUUGUGUUAUCUAAUCACUAGGAAAAUUGUGAUCAUUUGUGAAGAAUUGGUGAAAAAUAAUAUUCUGUUUUGUUUUCUUGAUCUCUCUAACAGGAGGAAAAAACGGAUUGCCCUUAUUUGUGUUUUAUGAACUUCGCAUGAAGGAAAAAUAAAAGGUUAUUGGGCAAAUUAGAAUGUGUAUAAACUUGUUUAAUGAGCUUGAACAAUAUGUUAUAGAAAAAAGAAUUGAAACUCGUAAAUGUGCAUUAUUUCCACUUUUUGUA
This is a long non-coding RNA of Dendrobium catenatum, 535 nucleotides long. RefSeq lists it as uncharacterized. NCBI's taxonomy places the organism in Eukaryota, Viridiplantae, Streptophyta, Magnoliopsida, Asparagales, Orchidaceae. The record is from RefSeq and is a predicted model, not a curated record. The transcript has 2 exons.